This 403-nucleotide unclassified non-coding RNA is filed under the name soil metagenome. RNAcentral's name for it is "partial contains 5.8S ribosomal RNA, internal transcribed spacer 2, and large subunit ribosomal RNA". The stretch from base 1 to 121 matches the Rfam family "5.8S ribosomal RNA", at positions 35 to 154 of the family's 154-position model. The record is from RNAcentral.
GAUGAAGAGCGCAGCGAAAUGCGAUAAGUAAUGUGAAUUGCAGAAUUCAGUGAAUCAUCGAAUCUUUGAACGCACCUUGCGCCCUUUGGCUAUUCCGAAGGGCAUGCCUGUUUGAGUAUCAUGAACACCUCAACUCUCAUGGCUUGCCAUGAUGAGCUUGGACUUUUGGGGGUCUUGCUGGCCUGUGGUCAGCUCCUCUCAAAUGAAUUAGCCUGCCAGUGUUUGGUGGCAUCACAGGUGUGAUAACUAUCUACGCUUGUGGUUUUCCACCAGGUAACCUUCAGUGAUGAAGGUUCGCUGGGGCUCAUAAACGUCUCUCCUCAGUGAGGACAGCUCUUUGAACGUUUGAUCUCAAAUCAGGUAGGACUACCCGCUGAACUUAAGCAUAUCAAUAAGCGGAGGA